AGUCGUGCGCCUGGGUACUUGUGCCUGGUGGCCAGCGGCGUGAAGGGUGAUUAAUGCCUACGAAUCUGCCUGGUACUGUGGGAUAACGCUUGCAAUCGGACCCUGAUCCCGGAUGAGUCCUAACGGAGAAAGCAAGGGACCUUCGGGCCUUGCGCUAUAAGAUGAGCCUAAGUAGGAUUAGCUAGUUGGUGAGGUAAUGGCUCACCUGGGCGACGAUCCGUAACUGGUCUGAGAGGAUGAUCAGUCACACUGGAACUGAGACACGGCCCAGACUCCUACAGGAGGAACCCCUGGGAAAUAUUGGACAAUGGGGGAAAGCCUGAUCCAACCAUGCCGCGUGUGUGAAGAACGGCUUCGGAUUGCCAAGCGCUUUAAUUUGGGAGGAAAGGGGUUUACCUAAUACGUAAGUGUUUUGAGUUUAACCGAAAGAAUAAGCACCGGCUAACUCUGUGCCAGCAGCCGCGGUAAUACAGAGGGUGCAAGCGUUAAUCGGAAUUACUGGGCGUAAAGCGCGCGUAGGUGG
RNAcentral lists this ribosomal RNA (523 nucleotides) under Pseudomonas caspiana. RNAcentral describes it as "bacterial SSU rRNA". It matches the Rfam family "Bacterial small subunit ribosomal RNA", at positions 60 to 578 of the family's 1533-position model. Lineage: Bacteria; Pseudomonadati; Pseudomonadota; Gammaproteobacteria; Pseudomonadales; Pseudomonadaceae. The record is from RNAcentral.